Marmota monax (woodchuck) is the source of this 519-nucleotide long non-coding RNA. RefSeq lists it as uncharacterized. NCBI's taxonomy places the organism in Eukaryota, Metazoa, Chordata, Mammalia, Rodentia, Sciuridae. The transcript has 3 exons. The record is from RefSeq and is a predicted model, not a curated record.
UUAGAGCCCUCCCCUUAUCAAUUUCAGGCAAGAAACAAUCCUUUUUUUCUGCAUACCAAAAAAACAAGCCAACUCAUGGAAAAAUCUGUGUGACUUCAAUUACAUAAAAUUGACUGGAUGAUUGAAAAGUAAUAUUUUGAACGAUUUUUUUUAAUUUUAAAUAAGCGUACUUGUAUGUUUGUUUUUAUUACAUUCUGAGACAGAUCAAGAGGAUGUGAAAUUGUUUUCAAACACAAAGAAGCUACCUCCUAACAACUUUUUCUUGAUUGCCUCUUCUGCCUUCUCCCAGUUUUAUCCUCUUCCUCGUGCUGAAGAUUGAAUUCAAGGCCUCACCCAUGCUCUACCACUGACCUACAUCCCCAGUCUUUGUCUUUUGAUAUCAGCUACGCUAAUAGGACACGAACUUGAAUAGAAAAGUGUGAAGAUUGAGAAUCUUUAUCUUGGACCAGACCUUACAAGAAAAGGUUUCAGUUAUUCACCAGUGAUUAUGAUCUUAGCUGUGGGCUUUCCAUAAACAGU